AACAUUAUCACAUUAGCUUAGUGUGAAAUUGAAGCAUCUAAGAAAAUCACUUAAAUAGAACAGGUAUCAUAUCAUUUUUAGAUAUGAAAACACUGUAAAUAUAAGUACAAAAAUUGAUUGUAAAUUUUAGAUUCAUAUGUCUUUUGAUCUUUUCCUCAUUUUUAUUCUGAAAGUGAAAUAAUUGAAUUGACAAGUGACAUAUGUAUCUAACCUGAUGCAAAAUCCAUACAACAAUUCCAGCAAACUCAACUAUUCCGAUGUAUCUAUCAAUCCAAGUAGCAUCUUCAGGUGCAUCAACAUCCACAACAGGUGCACUCAGAAUAUUGUGACGUGCUAGUAUUUUCACAGCUUCAGCCAAGGUAGCAUCUGAUUUUAUUUCAAUUUCUAUACAAGCAAACAUAAAAUUCACACUUUUAGAACAAACCCAAUAAAAACACACCACAAAAAAAUUAUAACACACACACACAAUAACACAUCAAUUGGUCACACAUGCAUGUUUGGUACCAUAGUUGGUUGGUUUGUCAGAAUCACGGUGAACCACCAUGAUUCUGAUAUACUAUCGUGAUACCAAACAUGCACAUAAAUUUUCAUCUGGGUGUGAUCAAAAUCACUUUUUCUUUUAUUCAAUCAAAAUCAGACACAUACAUACAUAGACACUAAACUACCUUGGUUUUUAGCAGGCAAAGGAAAAGCAGAAACAGGUAUGCUUUCAAAACAAGCAUUAAGUUUGUCAUUAGGACUUAAUUGUGCCUCUUGAACAUCCCAUAGAUCUUCAACUCUCAUCCCAAGUUUGGCUUCAGGGCUCCUUGGCAUCUCUCUCAUUGUAGCCAUUGCCAUUACUCCCUCUUCUUUUCUCUCUCUGUGUAACUGCAUGAUGAAUUGAUGAUGAUGACAAUAUUAUAAGAUCUCUAUGUUUUUGUCUUUUUCUCUUUACUACUCCCAACACAUUGUUCCAUAAUAAUAAACUGAAAAAUGGGAUCUAAAAUCUACUAAAAC
This 996-nucleotide long non-coding RNA is filed under the name Medicago truncatula (barrel medic). RNAcentral describes it as "long non-coding RNA (MTRU_LNC002352)". The record is from RNAcentral. Lineage: Eukaryota; Viridiplantae; Streptophyta; Magnoliopsida; Fabales; Fabaceae.